GUUCACAGGUAGCGCGACCUGUCUCGUAGUGUAGAUUUUCAAUUGCUUUUAACACUGUAAAUCAAAGUGACAUCGUGUACUGUUGGAUGUUUUUUAUCGAAGAAGGUUCGGAAAUGAAAUUUUCUCAACAAUAAAAAGGAGCUGCCCCCUGUUCACUGAAGGGGAUGAUGGGGUAUUCAUUGUACUAAGCACAGCAGGUUCACUACCCCCACUACUUCAUCAGGUUGGGAAGUUAUUUUUCAAGACCCCGAGGAAGUGUGAGGUUUUGGAAUCAGCUGUGAAGGAUCUGCAAAGCAGGUAUUUUACCUCGCAGACGAAGAUAAAGGUGCAAAUGCUGUGGUCAGCCAGGUUCACCACUACCUCAAAACAUACAGUCUUGGCAAACAGCAUGCUCACUUUCAGUGUGACAACUGUUGCGGCCAAAAUAAAAACAACAUAGUCAUCUGGUACCUUCUUUGGAGAGUUCUUGUAGGUUUACACAGAAGCAUCACACUAAGCUUUAUGUUGGUAGGACAUACAAAGUUUACACCAGAUUGGCACUUUGGCACCUGGAAGUCUAAGUAGAGCGUCUGUGCGGUUAUCGUCAAGGACGGGCCACAACAUUCCCCAGCUUGUGGGGGACACUUGCAAUCCUGUUGUGUUCUACGAUUGGAAGGAUUACCUUUCUACAUUGUUUCACCCCAUAAAGAAUGUCACCAAAUUUCACCAAUUCCAUGUGUCAAUAGAUCAUCCAGGUGUUGUGGAGUGCAGGGAAUUUAGUGACUCACCAGUAGUCAGAAUCACUCUCAGGCAGGUCUCGAAAAUGAAUGUUAAUGUGAGCUGUGACGACCUGCCAAAAGAAAUGUUAUCGAAAGGGCUUGAUCUGGACCGUCAGUGGUACUUAUUUGAACACAUUCGUGAACUCUGUCACACAGAUGAAGCCAAAAACUGUAUAUGUCUGAAACCCGCUACUGAUAAGCGACAAAAAACAGACUGUGCCCCCAUAAAACAGAAGAUGCAUUAAGAUGCACAUCUGAUCUUCUCUGCACAUGCCAAAACAAUUACAUACAUCAUGUAUCAGUGUGUUUUUUUUGGCCAAGGUAUUGGGUGAUGUUUUUUCACACAAACAGUGCAAAAAUCCACUAUUCUGAGGAAAGCUUAUACAUGUACAUGUAUACGAGUGCUAAAUCUGUUAGUUGAUACAGGUUUUGAAGUGUUCAAUACAAAAGUUUGUUGUUCUAAUUGCACAAGCUUGUUUUCAAGUUUUUUAAAUCUCAUAUUUACAAAACAAAAAUCAUUUUUUCAAUGUUACUUUGAAAUUGUUUUCACCUUAUGAACUCAGACUGCCUUUCCGAAACUGGAAAAAACAUCAAUGUGAAUGUUGUAUUUAUUUAUGUUUUACCAUGAAAAUCCUAUAAUUUUGUUUGUUUGCUUCAUUGUUUCCAUAGUAACAAAAACAAACAAUAUGUAUAAAUUAUUGUUUAUUUUGUCUAUUGUACAAAAUCAGAAUUAAUGAUAAUAAUGAUUAUUACAUUUACUGAAACAUUUAGUAUCCAAGUGUACUUUCAACCAACACUUUUCAAUGCUGUUUUUUUUCCAUUCUGUUGAGGUUACAUUAUACUUGAAUUCACAUGUAAAUGAAUGAAAAGGGAAAUUGUUCAUGGAACACACAAAUUAUUGAUUGUUAUUGUUUAACUAGUUGCAAAAACAGUGCAAUUAAUAUUUUGUUUACCUUUAAACAAACACUUGAUUGAUAAUACAAUUCAUAUAUUUAUAAAAGGCGGGAUUGUGCGCUCUGGUGAUUAUUACCAUGUAGAUCGGUUACCAUAGCAACACAAAUACUACAUUUUUAAUGUCCAUAAUGGUGUUGUCAGUUUUUUGCAUUAUAAUUAUGUAUUUGACUUAAGAAAGAUUAUUGUUUUAAUAAAACAGUUUG
Dreissena polymorpha is the source of this 1915-nucleotide long non-coding RNA. RefSeq lists it as uncharacterized. The record is from RefSeq and is a predicted model, not a curated record. The transcript is spliced from 6 exons. NCBI's taxonomy places the organism in Eukaryota, Metazoa, Mollusca, Bivalvia, Myida, Dreissenidae.